RNAcentral lists this small nucleolar RNA (88 nucleotides) under Procavia capensis (Cape rock hyrax). Its description in RNAcentral is "Small nucleolar RNA U109 (ENSPCAG00000020251.1)". It matches the Rfam family "Small nucleolar RNA U109", at positions 1 to 88 of the family's 134-position model. The record is from RNAcentral. Lineage: Eukaryota; Metazoa; Chordata; Mammalia; Hyracoidea; Procaviidae.
CAGCAUGUGAAAAGGUCUGCUCCUCAUUCCUUUAGGAGCAGUAAUACAUUAUAACAUGCCACAUUAUAAAAGGAGUUCUCAGGAUUGA